UUUCAUUUUACAGACAUCUGUUGAAAUCAGUUGUUGAGGAGCUGAUUCCACAGGAGGAACUACAUGCUUUAAAGGUGGAAGCAACUGCACAGUUGGCAAGGGAACUACCGGCGAGCUUCCCUCCCCAGCCCUUCAGCUGCGAUAUCGCCUGGGUUCAGCUGAGCCGCCUGCACCAAGGGAGCAGCUCCUGUCACGAAAGUGCACUGAGGACUUGCUUUUCCACUUUCCGGGAAAGGGGGUCGAGCUUUGAAAACCGAAAUAGACGCAAGAGAGCUGCGAGCUCCGGGCAGGGCAGCCCCCCGACCACACCUCCGCCGCCCGGGACGGCCGGGAGCGUCUCCGGUCCCCCCGCCCCAGCGCUGCCGAACAAAGCGGGCACGGAGAGACAGAACAUAGCAUUUGCUCGGGUCCCCCCUCUGCUCGCCUGUGAUUUAUCUGUUUACAGCCGGGACCCCCUCAGUUGAAACAAAAAAAAAAAAAAAAAAAAAUCAAUGAAAAUGUAGUUGGCGAAAAGGCGGGCAAACUGCUGAAAAAAAAAAUUUGUGAAUGGAAGAAUGUGUUUGUGCAUUCAUUGUUAAAAUAAAGAGCGUGCCGUGACGUGAGCGCCCGGGAGCCAAUGGGCGAGGGGAUAAUAUUUUUAAAUAUCCUCCCCGGGAGCCAAUGGGGGAGGCGGUGGCAAAGACUAGCGCAGGCGCGAGCCAAUGGCGGGGCGGUAUGCUAAUGAGGAGUUGGUCAGGCAGGAGCUGAAUGUCAACUAGUCAAAGAUGGAGGCUGGAGCGGGGCGGCCAUGAGGCGUGGAAUGAAGCUCCUUCCAGUCACCUGCUGCAAGACACAUUAUCCAGCUUCCUAACCUUAAGGAUGAGACCCUAUCAAUAUUGCCUCUGCUUUUGUGAUCAGGGUAGUAGUGCAAUAUUGCUUAUAGGGUCUUUUCUUUUGAGGGUUAUUCUUCACGGCGAGAAGAAAGCCACAGCAGGAAAAAAUAAUCCUAUGUGCCCAUCGAGUUAAGGGAAAAGUUGUGAAAUGCCGAGCCUUGUUAGAUAGGCAAGUAACUGUGCAGAUAUGUUAUUUGCAACAAAUAAUCGUGCUAUUGUGGUGACUCAGGUUGUGAGUAAUGGGCAUAUUUUUGAUGCUAUCGCACAGGACUCAAAACGGCCUCGUGUUUAAAAUGCACAAGCAGUGAUUGAAACCGCAGAAACCCAUCAUGGCUCCAUUUUAAAUAGUAUGGGUCCCAAGACGUUUGAAGGGUGCCUAUUUUACAUAGCGAUGUAAACACCCACCAAGGGAUGGGAGGAGAUCCAUAGCCACGCUUGCCGUUUCUGUGCCUGAACCCAGCCCGAAAACCAGUGCGGCGCGAAGCAGAGCGUAGCACAAAGAGGCCGAGGCUGUCAUCCCGGUAACCUCCUGGAAACAAAGCCCGUGCCUGCGGCCGGCCGGAGCCCCGGGGCCGGGGGGCGCGGCGGGGCUGGGCGGGCGCUGCUCACCGAGGUACGUGGGAACGGAGCGGCGGCGGGGGCGUAAAGCCUCCGCUCCGCUUUGUGAGGGAUCAGCUGGGGACUGACAGCGGCCGGGAUGGCCGGGUGGGUGGCCCUGCCUUCCAUUUCAGGUGGUCCCCGCGGUCCCUUUCGGGACCUCAGGGGCCCAGGAAAAGGGGUGGUGGGAGGGGACUGGGGGCCGGAUCGGGGCCGCCGCGGGGCUUUCCGAGCCGGUCCCGGGCAGCGCGGGGCCGCUGCGGCGCCUCUCCCCGCGACGGCGGGGGGGGCCCGCAGCCCUACGCUGCCCUCGGCUUGGCCCCCCAGCCCCGUUCCGGGGGGAGGCGGGAGCGCGGGGACAAAGGCAGGAGCGCCGGGCCGGGCCGGGGGCGGCGGGGCCAGCGCCGGGAGCGCCGGGCGGGCUGCCCCUCUUUCCCUGUUGCACUACUGUCACGGUCGCAGCGAGCAGUGCAAUAAUGAAAGGGCGUCAGUGCGCCGGGGAGCGGCGAGAGCGGGGGCGCGCCGGUGGCAGCGUGCGGGGACGGGGUGCCCCGAGGGCCACCUUAACGGGGGGCGGGGAGGGAGGGGGGGCUUCGGUUGUGCAACUUUCUUUGUUUAACCACGCGGGGCGGGGGGCGUGCGGACGCGGGGGGCAGGGCAAGGUGAGCGGCCCCGCGCCCCGCCCUGCCCCACGCCCGCCCCGCGCCCCGCCCGCUCCCCCCGCCGAGCGGGGCAGGACGCCCCUCCGCUGUACCCGGCCCACACCAAAUAAAUAAAGUGACUCCCACGUCCCCUGU
Non-coding RNA from Phalacrocorax carbo (great cormorant), 2266 nucleotides. NCBI's taxonomy places the organism in Eukaryota, Metazoa, Chordata, Aves, Suliformes, Phalacrocoracidae. The record is from RefSeq and is a predicted model, not a curated record.